CGAAGAACCUUACCAGGUCUUGACAUCCUUUGACCACUCUAGAGAUAGAGCUUCCCCUUCGGGGGCAAAGUGACAGGUGGUGCAUGGUUGUCGUCAGCUCGUGUCGUGAGAUGUUGGGUUAAGUCCCGCAACGAGCGCAACCCUUAUUGUUAGUUGCCAUCAUUCAGUUGGGCACUCUAGCAAGACUGCCGGUGACAAACCGGAGGAAGGUGGGGAUGACGUCAAAUCAUCAUGCCCCUUAUGACCUGGGCUACACACGUGCUACAAUGGGAAGUACAACGAGUCGCGAAGUCGCGAGGCUAAGCUAAUCUCUUAAAGCUUCUCUCAGUUCGGAUUGCAGGCUGCAACUCGCCUGCAUGAAGCCGGAAUCGCUAGUAAUCGCGGAUCAGCACGCCGCGGUGAAUACGUUCCCGGGCCUUGUACACACCGCCCGUCACACCACGAGAGUUUGUAACACCCGAAGUCGGUGAGGUAACCUUUUUGGAGCCAGCCGCCUAAGGUGGGAUAGAUGAUUGGGGUGAAGUCGUAACAAGGUAGCCGUAUCGGAAGGUGCGGCUGGAUCACCUCCUUUCUAAGGAA
Molecule: ribosomal RNA, 579 nt
Filed under: Enterococcus faecium
Lineage: Bacteria; Bacillati; Bacillota; Bacilli; Lactobacillales; Enterococcaceae
Description: bacterial SSU rRNA
Rfam family: Bacterial small subunit ribosomal RNA
Source: RNAcentral